GAUGAACGCUGGCGGCGUGCCUAAUACAUGCAAGUCGAGCGAACAGACGAGGAGCUUGCUCCUCUGACGUUAGCGGCGGACGGGUGAUUAACACGUGGAUAACCUACCUAUAAGACUGGGAUAACUUCGGGAAACCGGAGCUAAUACCGGAUAAUAUAUUGAACCGCAUGGUUCAAUAGUGAAAGACGGUUUUGCUGUCACUUAUAGAUGGAUCCGCGCCGCAUUAGCUAGUUGGUAAGGUAACGGCUUACCAAGGCAACGAUGCGUAGCCGACCUGAGAGGGUGACCGGCCACACUGGAACUGAGACACGGUCCAGACUCCUACGGGAGGCAGCAGUAGGGAAUCUUCCGCAAUGGGCGAAAGCCUGACGGAGCAACGCCGCGUGAGUGAUGAAGGUCUUCGGAUCGUAAAACUCUGUUAUUAGGGAAGAACAAAUGUGUAAGUAACUAUGCACGUCUUGACGGUACCUAAUCAGAAAGCCACGGCUAACUACGUG
RNAcentral lists this ribosomal RNA (497 nucleotides) under uncultured bacterium. RNAcentral describes it as "partial 16S ribosomal RNA". It matches the Rfam family "Bacterial small subunit ribosomal RNA", at positions 28 to 507 of the family's 1533-position model. The record is from RNAcentral.